Molecule: ribosomal RNA, 1282 nt
Filed under: uncultured bacterium
Lineage: Bacteria
Description: bacterial SSU rRNA
Rfam family: Bacterial small subunit ribosomal RNA
Source: RNAcentral
GAGUGGCAGACGGGUGAGUAACGCGUGGGAACAUACCCCCCGGUUCGGAAUAACUCAGGGAAACUUGAGCUAAUACCGGAUACGUCCAAGGUUUUCAUCGACCUUGGAGAAAGAUUUAUCGCCGGAAGAUUGGCCCGCGUCUGAUUAGCUUGUUGGUGAGGUAAUGGCUCACCAAGGCGACGAUCAGUAGCUGGUCUGAGAGGAUGAUCAGCCACAUUGGGACUGAGACACGGCCCAAACUCCUACGGGAGGCAGCAGUGGGGAAUAUUGGACAAUGGGCGAAAGCCUGAUCCAGCCAUGCCGCGUGAGUGAUGAAGGCCUUAGGGUUGUAAAGCUCUUUUACCCGGGAAGAUAAUGACGGUACCGGGAGAAUAAGCCCCGGCUAACUUCGUGCCAGCAGCCGCGGUAAUACGAAGGGGGCUAGCGUUGUUCGGAAUUACUGGGCGUAAAGCGCACGUAGGCGGAUCCUUAAGUCAGGGGUGAAAUCCCGAGGCUCAACCUCGGAACUGCCUUUGAUACUGGGGAUAUCGAGUCCGGGAGAGGUGAGUGGAACUGCGAGUGUAGAGGUGAAAUUCGUAGAUAUUCGCAAGAACACCAGUGGCGAAGGCGGCUCACUGGCCCGGUACUGACGCUGAGGUGCGAAAGCGUGGGGAGCAAACAAGGAUUAGAUACCCUGGGUAAGUCCACGCCCGUAAACGAUGGGAUGCCUAGCCGGUUAGACAGCUUGCUGUUUAGUGGCGCAGUUAACCGCGUUAAGCAUCCCGCCUGGGGAGUUACGGUCGCAAGAUUAAAACUCAAAAGGAAUUGACGGGGGCCCGCACAAGCGGUGGAGCAUGUGGUUUAAUUUGAAGCAACGCGAAGAACCUUACCAGCUCUUGACAUGUAUCGUAUGGGGACCGGAGACGGUUUCCUUCAGUUCGGCUGGCGAGAACUCAGGUGCUGCAUGGCUGUCGUCAGCUCGUGUCGUGAGAUGUUGGGUUAAGUCCCGCAACGAGCGCAACCCUCGCCCUUAGUUGCCAUCAUUCAGUUGGGCACUCUAGGGGGACUGCCGGUGAUAAGCCGAGAGGAAGGUGGGGAUGACGUCAAGUCCUCAUGGCCCUUACGGGCUGGGCUACACACGUGCUACAAUGGCGGUGACAAUGGGAUGCUGAGGGGCGACCCCGAGCAAAUCUCAAAAAGCCGUCUCAGUUCGGAUUGCACUUUGCAACUCGAGUGCAUGAAGGUGGAAUCGCUAGUAAUCGUAGAUCAGAACGCUACGGUGAAUACGUUCCCGGGCCUUGUA